AUAGUAGAGAAUAAAUUUAAGCUGCUAACUUUAAAUUUUAGCGGUUAAACUCCGUUACUACUAUU
Molecule: transfer RNA, 65 nt
Filed under: Paranurophorus simplex
Lineage: Eukaryota; Metazoa; Arthropoda; Collembola; Entomobryomorpha; Isotomidae
Description: tRNA-Ser
Source: RNAcentral